This 1589-nucleotide ribosomal RNA is filed under the name metagenome. RNAcentral describes it as "bacterial LSU rRNA". It matches the Rfam family "Bacterial large subunit ribosomal RNA", at positions 1352 to 2925 of the family's 2925-position model. The record is from RNAcentral.
UUCGCGCGCAACGUUCAUCGGCGCAGGGUGAGUCGGCCCCUAAGGCGAGGCAGAAAUGCGUAGUCGAUGGGAAGCAGGUUAAUAUUCCUGCACUUUUCUUAAGUGCGAUGUGGGGACGGAGAAGGUUAGGUCUACCAGGCGUUGGUUGUCCUGGGGAAAGGAGGUAGGCGGUGAUCUUAGGCAAAUCCGGGAUCACUUACGCCGAGCACCGAGACGAGUCCUAUGAGGACGAAGUGACUGACACCACGCUUCCAGGAAAAGCCACUAAGCUUCAGCUUAAGAAAAACCGUACCGCAAACCGACACAGGUAGGCAGGGUGAGAAUCCCAAGGCGCUUGAGAGAACUCGGGUGAAGGAACUAGGCAAAAUGGCACCGUAACUUCGGGAGAAGGUGCGCCCUUUGGUGUGGUCACGUGCGUGACUGAGCAUCGAAGGGUCGCAGUAACCUGGCCGCUGCGACUGUUUAUCAAAAACACAGCACUCUGCAAACACGAAAGUGGACGUAUAGGGUGUGACGCCUGCCCGGUGCUGGAAGGUUAAUUGAUGGGGUCAGCCGCAAGGCGAAGCUCUUGAUCGAAGCCCCAGUAAACGGCGGCCGUAACGAUAACGGUCCUAAGGUAGCGAAAUUCCUUGUCGGGUAAGUUCCGACCUGCACGAAUGGCGUAACGACAGCGGCGCUGUCUCCACCCGAGACUCAGUGAAAUUGAAAUCGCUGUGAAGAUGCAGCGUUCCCGCGGCAAGACGGAAAGACCCCGUGAACCUUUACUAUAGCUUUACACUGAACGUUGAGUUCUUCUGUGUAGGAUAGGUGGGAGGCUAUGAAACCAGGACGCUAGUUCUGGUGGAGCCAUCCUUGAAAUACCACCCUGAAGUGCUUGACGUUCUAACCUAGGCCCGUAAUCCGGGUCAGGGACCGUGUAUGGUGGGUAGUUUGACUGGGGCGGUCUCCUCCCAAAGAGUAACGGAGGAGCACGAAGGUACGCUCAGCGCGGUCGGACAUCGCGCACUGUGUGCAAAGGCAUAAGCGUGCUUGACUGCGAGAUCGACGGAUCAAGCAGGUACGAAAGUAGGUCUUAGUGAUCCGGUGGUUCUGUAUGGAAGGGCCAUCGCUCAACGGAUAAAAGGUACUCCGGGGAUAACAGGCUGAUACCGCCCAAGAGUUCAUAUCGACGGCGGUGUUUUGGCACCUCGAUGUCGGCUCAUCACAUCCUGGGGCUGUAGCCGGUCCCAAGGGUAUGGCUGUUCGCCAUUUAAAGUGGUACGCGAGCUGGGUUCAGAACGUCGUGAGACAGUUCGGUCCCUAUCUGUCGUGGGCGUUGGAGAUUUGAGGGGGGCUGCUCCUAGUACGAGAGGACCGGAGUGGACGUUCCGCUGGUGUUCGGGUUGUCAUGCCCAUGGCAUUGCCCGGUAGCUACGAACGGAAGUGAUAACCGCUGAAAGCAUCUAAGCGGGAAGCACGCCCCAGGAUGAGAUCUCCCGAGAGCUUGACUCUCCUAAAGGCACCAUCAAGACUAGGUGGUUGAUAGGUCAGGUGUGGAAGCGCAGCAAUGCGUUGAGCUAACUGAUACUAAUGAGCCGUGAGGCUUGACC